UCAAACUUGGUCAUUUAGAGGAAGUAAAAGUCGUAACAAGGUUUCCGUAGGUGAACCUGCGGAAGGAUCAUUAUUGAAUAAAUCUGAUGUAGUUGUAGCUGACUGCCCUAGGGUAGUAUUGUGCACACUCAUCACUUUUAUCUUUCCAUCUGUGCACAAACCUGUAGUCCUAGAACCCUCUCGCUGAGAAGCGGAUACAGAAGUUGCUAGUUCUGCUUUGGAAACCAAGUAGUCCUACUAGCUUCUUCUGAAUUUCUGGGUCUACAGUGAAUAUAUUUAUUAUAUAUACGAAAUGAAUGUUAUAGAAUGGAUAUCAUCAGGCUAUUUUAUGCCUACAAAAUUUAUACAACUUUCAGCAACGGAUCUCUUGGCUCUCGCAUCGAUGAAGAACGCAGC
RNAcentral lists this unclassified non-coding RNA (396 nucleotides) under uncultured fungus. RNAcentral describes it as "partial contains small subunit ribosomal RNA, internal transcribed spacer 1, and 5.8S ribosomal RNA". The stretch from base 1 to 73 matches the Rfam family "Eukaryotic small subunit ribosomal RNA", at positions 1759 to 1831 of the family's 1831-position model. Lineage: Eukaryota; Fungi. The record is from RNAcentral.